RNAcentral lists this ribosomal RNA (355 nucleotides) under uncultured bacterium. RNAcentral describes it as "partial 16S ribosomal RNA". It matches the Rfam family "Bacterial small subunit ribosomal RNA", at positions 338 to 690 of the family's 1533-position model. The record is from RNAcentral.
ACUACGGGUGGCAGCAGUGAGGAAUAUUGGUCAAUGGACGAGAGUCUGAACCAGCCAAGUAGCGUGAAGGAUGACUGCCCUAUGGGUUGUAAACUUCUUUUAUAAAGGAAUAAAACGAGGCACGUGUGCCUUUUUGCAUGUACGUUAUGAAUAAGGAUCGGCUAACUCCGUGCCAGCAGCCGCGGUAAUACGGAGGAUCCGAGCGUUAUCCGGAUUUAUUGGGUUUAAAGGGAGAGUAGAUGGGUUGUUAAGUCAGUUGUGAAAGUUUUCGGCUCAACCGUAAAAUUGCAAUUGUUACUGGCAGUCUUGAGUACAGUUGAGGUAAGCGGACUUCGUGGUGUAGCUGUGCACUGCU